Molecule: ribosomal RNA, 653 nt
Filed under: Aeribacillus pallidus
Lineage: Bacteria; Bacillati; Bacillota; Bacilli; Caryophanales; Bacillaceae
Description: partial 23S ribosomal RNA
Rfam family: Bacterial large subunit ribosomal RNA
Source: RNAcentral
UGAGCUGUGAUGGCGAGGGAAAGGAAGUACCGAAGUUCCCGAUUCCACACUGCCAAGAAAAGCCUCUAGCGAGGUGAGAGGUGCCCGUACCGCAAACCGACACAGGUAGGCGAGGAGAGAAUCCUAAGGUGAGCGAGAGAACUCUCGUUAAGGAACUCGGCAAAAUGACCCCGUAACUUCGGGAGAAGGGGUGCUCAUCAAGGUGAUAAGCCAUGAUGAGCCGCAGUGAAAAGGCCCAGGCGACUGUUUAGCAAAAACACAGGUCUCUGCGAAACCGUAAGGUGAAGUAUAGGGGCUGACGCCUGCCCGGUGCUGGAAGGUUAAGGGGAGCGCUUAGCGAAAAGCGAAGGUGCGAACCGAAGCCCCAGUAAACGGCGGCCGUAACUAUAACGGUCCUAAGGUAGCGAAAUUCCUUGUCGGGUAAGUUCCGACCCGCACGAAAGGCGUAACGAUCUGGGCACUGUCUCAACGAGAGACUCGGUGAAAUUAUAGUACCUGUGAAGAUGCAGGUUACCCGCGACAGGACGGAAAGACCCCGUGGAGCUUUACUGCAGCCUGAUAUUGAAUGUGGGUACAGCUUGUACAGGAUAGGUAGGAGCCAGAGACGCGUGAGCGCCAGCUUGCGCUGAGGCGACGGUGGGAUACUACCCUGG